Molecule: ribosomal RNA, 274 nt
Filed under: uncultured bacterium
Lineage: Bacteria
Description: partial 16S ribosomal RNA
Rfam family: Bacterial small subunit ribosomal RNA
Source: RNAcentral
AUACAGAGGGUGCGAGCGUUAAUCGGAAUUACUGGGCGUAAAGCGCGCGUAGGCGGCUUGGUCAGUCGGAUGUGAAAGCCCCGGGCUCAACCUGGGAAUGGCAUUCGAUACUGCCAGGCUAGAGUGUGGGAGAGGGAAGUGGAAUUUCCGGUGUAGCGGUGAAAUGCGUAGAUAUCGGAAGGAACACCAGUGGCGAAGGCGACUUCCUGGCCCAAUACUGACGCUGAGGUGCGAAAGCGUGGGGAGCGAACAGGAUUAGAAACCCUAGUAGUCC